This 139-nucleotide non-coding RNA is filed under the name Heterosigma akashiwo. Lineage: Eukaryota; Raphidophyceae; Chattonellales; Chattonellaceae. The record is from RNAcentral.
GUACACAAGAAGAGACAAACAACAAACAAACAAAAAACAGAAGUGUUUUGUGUUGUUGGAUGAUCCCUGCUUUAUUAUUAUUUUUGUUGUUGUGUUGUUGUUGUUUCUUGAUGAUUACCCUGGCGAUCUCAGUUAAAAU